CCUACGGGUGGCUGCAGUGGGGAAUAUUGGACAAUGGGCGCAAGCCUGAUCCAGCAAUGCCGCGUGAGUGAUGAAGGCCUUAGGGUUGUAAAGCUCUUUCGCACGCGACGAUGAUGACGGUAGCGUGAGAAGAAGCCCCGGCUAACUUCGUGCCAGCAGCCGCGGUAAUACGAAGGGGGCUAGCGUUGUUCGGAAUUACUGGGCGUAAAGCGCGCGUAGGCGGUUAUUUAAGUUAGACGUGAAAGCCCUGGGCUUAACCUGGGAAUUGCGUUUAAUACUGGAUAGCUAGAGUUUGUGAGAGGGUAGCGGAACUCCCAGUGUAGAGGUGAAAGUCGUAGAUAUUGGGAAGAACACCGGUGGCGAAGGCGGCUACCUGGCGCAACACUGACGCUGAGGCGCGAAAGCGUGGGGAUCAAACAGGAUUAGAUACCCGUGUAGUC
RNAcentral lists this ribosomal RNA (440 nucleotides) under uncultured bacterium. RNAcentral's name for it is "partial 16S ribosomal RNA". It matches the Rfam family "Bacterial small subunit ribosomal RNA", at positions 338 to 795 of the family's 1533-position model. The record is from RNAcentral.